This 253-nucleotide ribosomal RNA is filed under the name uncultured bacterium. Its description in RNAcentral is "partial 16S ribosomal RNA". It matches the Rfam family "Bacterial small subunit ribosomal RNA", at positions 524 to 776 of the family's 1533-position model. The record is from RNAcentral.
GACAGAGGGUGCUAGCGUUGUUCGGAAUUACUGGGCGUAAAGGGCGCGUAGGCGGUCUGUUAAGUUCGGUGUGAAAUCCCCUGGCUCAACUGGGGAACUGCGCUGGAAACUGGCAGACUCGAGUACCGGAGAGGAGAAUGGAAUUCCUGGUGUAGCGGUGGAAUGCGCAGAUAUCAGGAGGAACACCGAUGGCGAAGGCAGUUCUCUGGGCCGUAACUGACGCUGAGGAGCGAAAGCGUGGGGAGCGAACAGG